This 435-nucleotide long non-coding RNA is filed under the name Musa acuminata (dwarf banana). RNAcentral describes it as "long non-coding RNA (MACU_LNC000401)". The record is from RNAcentral. Lineage: Eukaryota; Viridiplantae; Streptophyta; Magnoliopsida; Zingiberales; Musaceae.
GCGCUGAUGAAUUGAAUAUUAGAGUCCCAGAAACCACAAUCAAGCACCUCACAUGGUAUGAUUAAAGCAUAGACAAUUACCACUCAGUUUUAUUGUUGUAGCAGAUGCAUUUCAACAAUCAAGGACCUUGUAAUCAAAGCAAUAUAGCUUGGUUGCUGAUAAAUUAACAUCAAGAAGCUCCAAAGCAGGUGAAGAAUGCACUUCUAUCAACUAAUCCAAAUCCUCCUGUUCAAGGCCAUGACCAAGUUAUGUCUUCUGAGAAAUUAUCACAUUUCUAACAAAAACUACCUCCAAUCAACCAAUCCAAAUCUCUGAGACCUAAUCUUGCACAUGCCAUUUUGACAAAAAAAGUUAACAUUGAGGUGGUUAAAAUAAAAUCAUAACUAUGAAUGGAUUCGCCUACGAACUCACUGAUCCCCACUGUUAUCAAACCUA